This 495-nucleotide ribosomal RNA is filed under the name uncultured bacterium. Its description in RNAcentral is "partial 16S ribosomal RNA". It matches the Rfam family "Bacterial small subunit ribosomal RNA", at positions 28 to 507 of the family's 1533-position model. The record is from RNAcentral.
GAUGAACGCUGGCGGCGUGCCUAAUACAUGCAAGUAGAACGCUGAAGGCGGAGCUUGCUCUUCUGGAUGAGUUGCGAACGGGUGAGUAACGCGUAGGUAACCUGCCUGGUAGCGGGGGAUAACUAUUGGAAACGAUAGCUAAUACCGCAUGACAACAGCUAUUGCAUGAUAACUGUUGAAAAGGGGCAACUGCUCCACUACCAGAUGGACCUGCGUUGUAUUAGCUAGUUGGUGAGGUAACGGCUCACCAAGGCGACGAUACAUAGCCGACCUGAGAGGGGGAUCGGCCACACUGGGACGGAGACACGGCCCAGAGUGCUACAGGAAGCAGCAGUAGGGAAUCUUCGGCAAUGGGCGGAAGACUGAGCGAGCAACGCCGCGGGAGGGAAGAAGGAUGUCGGAUCGUAGAGCUCUGUUGUAGGGGAGGAACGAGUGUGAGAGUGGAAAGAUCACUGUGUGACGGUAUCUUACCAGAAAGGGACGGCUAACUACGUG